UCCUGUUUCAAUAUUUAUGAAUGUGGGAUGCAUAUGCUAUACAAAAAUAAUUUUAUUAGCAAGUGUUUGUGUGCUCACACUGAUAUUUCCAUAUUUUAUAUCUUUUAUUCUUUCUUAACGGUGACAGUUGCGCACGGUGCAUGCAGAUCGCGUUGCCUCGCCUGCGGAGCUCUGAUGGCGCUGGUUGGAGGAAGAGCAGAUUCCUCCUGGAUCUGACUGCAUGGGCCACCUGGGAAGCCAGGUGAAGCGGCUAAGGCAGUGAACACAGCGCUCAACCCGCCACAGCAAUCCUCUGUCAGGGAGGAGACUAGAAACAAUACAGGGGAAAAGUCGAAGAAGGAGAGGUGAUACGUGAAGAGCGACUUUGUCCUGGAUUACAGCUCGAGACACCAAGCAGCGUGCUGCUUCUUUUCCUGUGACAUCCCUUGCGCCCUGAAGACAGAAAACAGGGCUGUUCAUUUCACUGUGGGACCUUCAGCAGGAGCCAGCAGGAAACACAGGGAAUGCUCAGCUUCCAGAGACCAUGGGUCCUCAGGGCUGAAAAGGAGCUCGCUCCCCUCUCAGGCCAGGAGGGAAGGGCACGCCUGGGUCAGUUCCUAAGGCAGCCAUGCCCCAGGCGCCGAAGGCCUUGCCGACAUUCUUCAUAUUUAAUCCCAACCAGACCGGCGCGAUUUCCAGCUGGACGACACUUGGCUAAUUUGGGGGAGGCUCCGCGGUGUCUGGGCCGCGCCUGCCACCCGCAGCGCCUGGAACGCUUUGUUGACCUAAGGAAUCAAGGAAUCAGCAAACAAACAGCUUUUGGACAAAGGAGGACCUGACGCAGGUGAAGCGAGAGGAUUCGAGGACUGUGACAGGGGAGGCAUGUCAUGGUAGAAAGCAGGUCUGCUGAGGCCUUGGGACCUUUAACCAUUGGCGCAGCCUCUAUCCCGCUGGGCAGGGCUGGGCCAGGGGGCAGGAGGCGGCAGAGACCUGCCGCUGCGCAGAGAACAGCGACCACAGCCAAAGACAGAGCUGCACCACCAAGGCUGUCAGCAGAAGCGAGGUUUCAGUGCUGCGAAGGCCUUCAAGGGAAUUGCACUCAUUCCUGUAGAAAUUCACAACGAGAGGAGGGAGCACACCCCGGAGCCUGCUGACCUGCCUGAAUGCUGGGCGAGGCCGGGCUUAUGAUGGAAGCAGGCAUUGUUCUCUCCAUCGCAGCAAAAAGUACUUAAUUGUAUUUUAGACGCAUACAGUAAAGACGCAGAAUGACUUAAUUAUGUCUGAAUAUUUUACUCACUUAUGUCCUUCAAAUUCUAGGAUUUCCAGG
Myotis brandtii (Brandt's bat) is the source of this 1306-nucleotide long non-coding RNA. RefSeq lists it as uncharacterized. NCBI's taxonomy places the organism in Eukaryota, Metazoa, Chordata, Mammalia, Chiroptera, Vespertilionidae. The transcript has 3 exons. The record is from RefSeq and is a predicted model, not a curated record.